GGGACAUACCGCUGGAUGGCACCGUAAGAUUCUUUUCCCUUUUAUGCAUCUAGAACUUUCUCCAGUAUUUUUUCCGUUUUAUUGUGCACAUUUUCUCUCUUAAACUAAUCAUAUUUUAUGAGGGAAAAGUCUUCAACCAUAUGUAAAGAGAUUCAUACAAGCAUCUUGCCUGAUAUGCUAUUGUUGUGCCCUUCUGACCAUUUUAUGUUUCUGAACACUGCUGAUGCUGAUCUACUUUAUAGAACCGUCUAUCUAAAUCUCAUGUUUAUACGAGUUAAAGUUGAAGAAUUGUUCAGCAUCAUUGAUCUCUAAAUUUUAUAGUCUAGAUGUGCUGGUGCUCAUGCAUGUGCGGGACUCGCACUAACUCCAUGUUGGCACAGUGUGUAAAGGUGGUUCAACAAAAAUUUAAAAGAUACAACAUUUUCUAUUUGCUGCUAUUGCUAGCACAAUAACCAUUAUUUUUUCACCAAUAAACUCUUAUCUCUAGCAUUUUGUCUAAGAUUUACUUCCUUGGUAUUCUUCUUUGGAUUAGCCUAUUUACUUAUUUCCUUGGCAUUCUUCAGUGGAUUAGCCUUGUUUGUUUACUAUUCCCGUUUCAGUCUCUUUGGUUCAAAUUCUCUUCUAUAUUUCUGACUUUUGACAUGAUUUACAUUAACAUUAUUUUAAAUUGGUAUGUAAACCUAUUGAAAUUCCUUUUAUUGGCCUUCUACUAUUUCAUUUAUCUAAGAUCUAUGUUAGGCAGCUCAAACCUCUCUUUUUCUGUCAAAAAGGUUCUUCUAUGACUUCUCAAGUAUGUUUACAUCUUCUCAAUUCCUUUAUAUAAACAAACUUUUACUAUGUCCAAUUCCUUAUAUGUCAUAAUGUAUUAUGCUCCAACAAAUUUUUGCAAGGAAAAAAAAAUUAAUUUUUAUGUUUUAUAAACAUCUGUGUUAUUUAGGAUAAUUUUUAUCAAUUGUCCCUCAACUUUGAGAGUGUUUCACUUUCAUUCCUCAUCUUCAUUUUGUUAUGAUAAAAUCCCUAAACUUUGAAAACAUUACACUAAAAGCCCUCGUGCCAGAAUCCCAUUAGUUUUUCAGCAAGACGCUUAUGUGGCAGUGCCACGCUGUCAAAAAAAAUUUCUUUUCACAGACCAAACUUUCUUUCCCUUAUUCGUACUCAUCUACGUCCACUUACAACACCUCUCAUUGGCCACUACAUGGCAUUUCUUUAUUUUAUUUUAUUUUCUUUUUUUCUUUAUGUGUUGAUUGCUGAUUUUUUUUUUAACAAAAGAUGAAUUGAAGAUAAAAAAAAAAAAGCCUCAGAUCUUUCACCUGAGGACC
This 1319-nucleotide unclassified non-coding RNA is filed under the name Hevea brasiliensis (rubber tree). The record is from RNAcentral. Lineage: Eukaryota; Viridiplantae; Streptophyta; Magnoliopsida; Malpighiales; Euphorbiaceae.